This 12035-nucleotide long non-coding RNA is filed under the name Eucalyptus grandis. Its description in RNAcentral is "long non-coding RNA (EGRA_LNC004527)". The record is from RNAcentral. Lineage: Eukaryota; Viridiplantae; Streptophyta; Magnoliopsida; Myrtales; Myrtaceae.
CACCAUGUUCAGCACAGACGGGUCCAGGCUGAUGGUGAUAAGGUCCGACUCCGUGAUUGGCGUGUAUGACUGCAGCAACUUCAAGGAAAUCAGGAAUUUCGAGAUCCCCAAUUUGGCCACGGCAGCAUUGUCCCCGUGCGGGACCUAUCUUCAGAGUUUCCAGAAAUCCUCAACGCCACAGGUGAAGAAUGUGAUCUUGUGGAAAGUUGAGUCUGGGGAGUCUGUUUAUCAGCUACUCCAGAAGAACAUAACAAAAACGACAUGGUACAUGAUAUUAGUCAGGAUCAUCAGUUGGUCAAUGAUAGAUUACUCAUGAUAGUGUGNNNNNNNNNNNNNNNNNNNNNNNNNNNNNNNNNNNNNNNNNNNNNNNNNNNNNNNNNNNNNNNNNNNNNNNNNNNNNNNNNNNNNNNNNNNNNNNNNNNNNNNNNNNNNNNNNNNNNNNNNNNNNNNNNNNNNNNNNNNNNNNNNNNNNNNNNNNNNNNNNNNNNNNNNNNNNNNNNNNNNNNNNNNNNNNNNNAAUAUAGGCUGAGAGUUCCUGGAUUGCUGCAGUUGAGCUCUCUAAAACUCUGGGGUCCCACAUUGCAGCAUUUGUUCCAGAAUCUAAGGUUUGUGUUUCAUGGCUAUCUUGAAUUAGUAAGGGACUGGUUCAUAAACUUGACUAAUGUGGCAACUCACGAAAAGUUCUAUGACCAGGCCAGAGCAGACAACAAUGUGAUGAACAGUAUAAGUAGCUAUAAUGUCUAGUUGCGUUCCUUUUUUAUUAGACAUUAGUUUCAAGCUGACUUUAUGACCUGGAACCUAUUAAUAACAAACUCUUAGAUUGGUUGGUUUGGUAUCUGAUGCUGAUUCAAAUAACUAGUAGAGAUUCCGGUUCUUAAAGGAUGACACAGGUGUUUUUGACUGCUCCUUUUGGUGUUUAAUGAAUACAGAGAUCACUUGUAUUACAUGAUAGCAAAGAGCAUGAUGACUUAGGAAGAUCCAUGUUUCGCACUGUGUACUGUAGAGAAAAAUAGUCUUUAUUUGCAGCGACCUACUGUUUAGUGUAUUUUACGGUCAGCCAUUACAGCUUUAAAGCAUGCGGGUUUUAUAAUUUUGAAUGGCGUUUCCUUCUUGUCUGGAGAGAAAUGAGUUUGGUGCUUAAAAGUAGGUUUUUAGAAAGUUUUGUCCCUUGUUAUUAUAUACGAAUGGUCCUUUAUGUAUAUCAAGUAACUUGACCUUGAUAAGAUAUUUGUGGUAUAUAGGGUGUCCCUGCCAGUGUCCAAAUAUUUGCGUGUAGGGAGGAUCCGCAGAGUCAACCUGUUGCACGGCGAAGUUUCUUCCGCUGCUCAUCAGUGCAGCUGCACUGGCAUUAUGGGUCCACUGGACUUCUGGUUGUGGUGCAGUCUGAUGUUGAUAAAACCAACCAGAGUUACUAUGGGGAAUCGAAGUUACUUGACAACAGAUGGGACUCAUGAAGGGCUCGUGCCUCUUCGUAAGUCUUUAUUUGUUUUCUUACUAAAACUGCCUAUAUAAUUAUUUUCUUGAGACUUAUCUUUUGCAGUUUUGGUGCUUUAUCAGGUAAAGAGGGACCUAUUCAUGAUGUUCAAUGGUCAUACUCUGGUUCAGAGUUUGCUGUUGUUAUGGCUGUAUCCUUCACUGUUUUCAACUAGUAUCAUCACAUUUAUCACGUGGGAGUAUGAUGGACAAACAUCCAUCUUCUUAUUAAGUUUGUAUCCUCAAGGAUUCAGCUGGUGGAACUUUGUAAUGAUUGUUCUUACUCAUUAGUAGUUAAUUUGAGCUCUAGAAGGUACUAGGUUGUGUGAUCUCAGUUGGAUCUUGGCCUGUGAUGGAAGAUUAGGACGCUCAACUAAUAUGGAGUAAGGUAAAUUGUGAUUAACUCUGAUAUCGUUGUGUUAUGGUUCAGAAGUUUCUUGUAGUGACACUUCAUUAUCUACAUUAGACAUGUAGGCAUCACUUACUUCUCAUGCAUUAUUGGAACUUUGUCCUUGCAACCGUUAGCUUUCAUUUUGACUUUUCCUUGAUCUGAUCUAGUCAUACCUGCAAAGGCAACCAUUUUUGACAAGAAGUGCAAUCCACUUCUUGAGCUUGGAACGGGCCCUUAUAAUACCAUCAGAUGGAAUCUGAAGGGGAAGUGUAUCCUUGUGAAACAUUAUUUGCUAUGAGUUGAUACCGACUCACUAUUCAAGAUAGCCAUGAAACACAAACCAUGAAACACAUUACUACUCUUUAAGAAGAUGUUUGACAAGUUAUACCAGGUUAGCCUUCUCUGCAUUAUCUCGUAUGAAUUGUACUAAAUCAGCCCAAUCCUUGGUGGAAUAGAAAUGGCUAACAACUUGCACAGGCUGAAUGGAAACCAGAAUCACCCGAGAGAUUUUGUGAAGUUGCUGAACUGAUAAAGUCUGUUGACUCUCUAAAGGUGGAAGAACGAAAACCACAAGGUUUUGAUUUGUUUUGGUAAUCAGAGAGUGCUAAAGAAGACACUCGUUUCUAGAGCUAUGUAUAUUUUAGGAUCUGCUGAAGAACUUUUGCCACUUAAACAGGACAAACAGCAAAAUCAUCUCAAAAUUCUGCAAAGGUAACUUCUAUUAACAUGCCCGCACAGAAACCUGCUGCCUAUCGUCCACCACAAGUUAAGAAUGCAGCUGCUGUCCAGGCAGAGGUGAUGAUCAAAUACUUAUAACAUGUUCAAUCUAUACCAUAGCAAUGUGGGAUGCUUGCCUGAUAAUUGGUUUUUCUAUUAAUCCAGUAAUAGCAUUGUCUGAACUAGUUGGCUGUUUAUAUGGAACAUUUAGGUGGAAUUCGCUUUAAAACUUAGAAAUUGUUCUUUAAGGCUUUUACUUUUGUUAUUCUGGCUCAUGGUCUGGCUGUAGUUCCACAAGAUGGUUGUUCGACUCUAAUGUUUCUCCCUUAUUUGAAUUAUCUGCAAUGAGAUGUUCCAACACUAUAAGAGAUUAUCUCCAUUUCUAUCCGGAAAAAGCGAAACGAAACUUUGUGGAACUCAUGUGGGAUUUGUUACGUUUAAACUCAAGAUUGAAAGGCAUAAGACGGGCAAGGCUAUUGCACAUGUUUUGCUAUUACUAUCAUCUGUAUGAUUUUAUAUCCUUUCUUAUGCUCAGUUUGAAUGUGCUGCUAGACAUUUUUGGCUCAUGUAAAAAAUGCCUAGCCUUGCUACCUCUAUUUUAGCUACAGUUGAAGCCAUCAUAGUCCUCUCCAUGUCAGAUUGGCUAUUCAUUUGAUAUAGCACGAAAUGUUUAUCAUGUGGUUGCAGUCAGCUGAGACAUUAUGAAGGAAUUAAAACCAAAGUGCAAUCUUCUUGUUCUUCUUCUACUCUUCCCCUAUUGAAGUCAAGGGUGGAACUCAGGAGUUCUACGUCUUCCUAUAAUUUUUUUCCCCGGGGGGGGUCCCGGGUGCGGUGUCCGGGGGGAAGGGCAAGUGUUAGGGGGGUGAUUGUACUGUUUGAUUUUAACUUUUUAGGCUAUGAAAGACUGAUUUCUAAUUCUGGCCCCUAACUCACAAUGCUGGAUGAUAUUUGAUAACAGAACACUGAGCAAGAAUGCUCUGAGAAACAAGAAGAAAAGGGAGAAACAAAGAGAGAAAAAAGCUGCGGAGGCUGGUUCUGCCCCGAGUGAUUCCUGACAUCAUACUUAGUGUGAGUUCCACGUCUAGAAUCUUGGUCAGUGAUAUAAUUUCCCUCACGUAACAAAGCGGCAAUAGGGAAAAGCAGCAGCGGAGUGCCUUCUGGCAUUUGCAUUGGAGUGGAGCGAGUCCAAUGGUGCUGGAAUAUUAGCCUUGUGGAGCGAAGAUUGGAAGACAUACUUUUGAGGGGACGAUCAGAACACUUCUUUGCUCUCUAUAUACUGUUCUGUAAAUUCUUUGGGAUGAGGGGUACCAUUGUAUGAAACUAGGAACUUCUUUAUUCAAAUAAUGUUCGAAUUUCAGCAGUAACUUAUCUUUGAAAUAGCAAAAAAAUUUCCAAUCACUUAGCAUCUACUGAUUUGGCAAAUGAGUCUUGUUCCUUUGUUUCUUGGUCUAUAAAUCUAUAUAUGACGAAAGCUAUUGCAGAGAGAGCAUUCUCAGAGCUUGGGUGCUAUAUUUUGCCAAUCUGCUUGGUUGGAAAUGUUGGGUGGGUUCCUCUCUCGCUGAGGCACCUCCUCUAUUACCCCUUCAUUAUUUCACUAUUUAAUUGUAAAUUCUUAUAUUAAAGAAAUGAUUUUCAGUUUAACAAAUAAUUUAAUAUCGGUGGGAGACAAACCAUCAUUUUGAAAUUAGCGUACUCAAUCAAGAUACAAUCAGGAGUGCAUGGAAUAUAUAGGUUAGACCAUAAUUGCUCCAAAUUAAAUUAUCACUCAUAUUUUCAUUUGUGCGGCCCAAUUUUCUUAAAAAGCUCCAAAGUUGACAAACUUCUUGCGAGCGGCAUUCUCUGGAGUAGGGAAAAUUUGGUGUUUAAUUUGACUUCAACCAAUGUAAAGCGUUACCUUGCAUUUGAUAUUCUUACGUUGCAGCGAAGUGAGAAUUUUCUUUAGCUCCAUUUGGUCCGACUUUUAAGAAAUGUUUUUGGAAAAAUGUAAAUAUCUUUAAGUUAAAGAAAUUUUCUAAAAUGCAAAUAAUAUUUAGUAAAUUAUAAUUUUAAAAUACAUUGGAAAAUGAUUUUAACUUAAAUGUCGUUUAAUAAAAAUUAUAUUUUGUAAAUGACUUUUCCUAAUUUUAAAAAAAAAAGUUUAAAAUAUUUCCUUAUGGAGGUCAGUCGCCGUCGGUCAAAAUAGUCAUUGGACAGCCUUUAGGCGAUGCCUAACGGUCCCACAAGCUCAGGCGAUGAUCGCUGCCGUGCUCUUGCUUGGUGGUCAUAGACCUCCGUUUGGCUUCUCCGAGCGAAGCAUGGAGAAGAUGAACAGUAUGGACGAGAUUAAGACUUAUGUUUCAAGAAUGCUACUUUCUAAAGGACCUCCAAACCUUUGAAUCCACAAAUUAAAUGCUUUUCUUGCUCUUUUACGAGGAGAGAAGAGAGAUAAAAAUAAAGCACAAAAAGAAAAAUAUUUGCACCGCCAAAAUCCAUCCUGCUGUAUACGCCUCUUGGUCACAACUUGGGCGUAUCUUCUGUGCAAACGUGGCAAACAAGAUGGGUUCUGAUUAUCAACACGUGUCCAAGUAGGGCCCGAGUAGUUAGACGAUUUUGAAUUCUCUCAUCUCUCUCUCUUCGUUGCCCUCUCUCUCCCACCAAGCCCUCGGCCGACCGACGAACUUCGCGAUGAUGGAGGUAACCUUUCGAGGGGGGGGCGGAGGCCGCACGAUGGUUCGUUGGACGAGGGCUCAGUUUGACUCGGAGGGAGAGAGAGAGAGGGCAUAGUCGGAACCUCUCCAGAGAACCCGCUGUGCGGCAGGUUCAGCGUCCCGGAGAGGCUCCCAAGCUCCGCGAGCGCUUCGGGGAGUGACCCAUUGAGCGAGUUGGAGAGACAGGUCCAAGUGGGCGAGGUUACGGAGGUUCUUUUGAUCUGGGUCGGGAUCAGACGGGAGAGCGAGUUUCGGGAGAGGUCGAGGGUCGCACUGAAGAGGCGGGAGCAGACGGGCUUGGAGGAGUCAUCGCCGGCGAGGUUGAGCCGUCUGAGCGAGCCGAGGAGGCCAAGCUCGGAGGGGAUGUAGCGGGAGAGGUUCUUGCCAGCGAGGAAGAGGGAGGCAACUCGGCCGCAAGCGAUGCCGGAGCCGGAGCCGGAGCCGGAGCCGGAGAGGCGGCGCGGUGGAUCAUUGGUCAGAGAGAGCUCGGUGGAAGAGAGAGGUGGCGGGAAGAAAGAGAGAGAGGAGGUGCAUGACGAUCUAGAAUUUCUAUUUUAGAAAUUUUUUUCUUAUUUCAAAAACAUUUUUGGAGCAGAAAUCCGUUUGAUAACAUUAUUUCAUUUUUUCUAUUUCUGAAAUAGAUUUCUAUUUUAGAAAUAUAUUUGAAAUAGAAAUCAGAAGUAGAAAUUAUACUUCUCUAUUUCUGGAACAAAAAUGAGAAAUAAAAUUUUUUCUCAUUGUUCGUCAAUCGGUCCUUCAUCCGUUGCCGCUGAUUACUGUCUGUCAGUCGCCAGCCGUCGGCCGCCCAGCCGCCCGCUGUAGCCGCCGUCGUCCGUCACCGUUAUCCGCUGGUCCGCUGCCGUCCGAAAGGACAAAAUUUUGUGUCGUUAUCAAACAAAUUUUUAUUUUUAGAGUAGAAAUUUUGUGUCAUUAUUAAACAGUUAUUUUUGCUUAGAAAAUUUUCUAUAAAUAAAAAUUGAAAAAUCUAUUUUUGUUCUAGAAACUAUUUCUGAAACAGAAUGGUUAUCAUGCGCAUCCUCAUAUUAUGGGCAAAUUAAUAAAAAUUCUAGUAAUAAAAAGUGGGCACUCUUGGGAAUGGAGACACACUCGACAUGUAGCCGGGGAGUCUCGAAACCAUUUCUUAUAUUUUUUAAUCGAGUCCCAGUAGGACCAUAAGAUCACCAAGGUAGCACCGAGGGUCGCAUAAAUCGGCAUCGGGCUAUACAAGAAGAUUAAUAAGAUCACUAAUAAGAUCAUCGAUGCAUAAAUUAGCAUUGGGCUAUACAAAAAGAUUAAUAAGAUCACUAAUAAGAUCACCGAGACAGCACCUCCACAUAAAUCGGCACCGGGCUAUACAAGAAGAUUAAUAAGAUCAACGCACCACCGGCUAUACAAGAAGGUUAAAAUCAGAAACCCAGGCACCUAAGAGUAAAAUCAUGGUCAGGAGAAAGCCAAGCACUGCGGCCACCGAUCCAAUUCCUCUCAUUACUAAGCUAUCACGCAGUUUGCCUCCAAUAGCAGCUAAAAACCCAAUCAAAUAAACAAUUGCAGUGAUGGGAAUUAGUGCGUCGUUAAUAGAAGUGUUGCUUGUCUUUAGACCCACAAGAGCAAAACUUCCCUGAACGAUCACAUCCCACAAUGAAUCUCCCAGGAUCGUCCAUUUUGGCUUGCUAUGAAGUUAUUGCGUUCGAUCCAAGCGCUGCACGUAGCCUUCCACACACAUUUCUCCCUCCUCAAGAAUAUCAAUAAUGGUAUGUUCAGCAUUCUCAUGGGUGACAAAUGCAUGGUGCUGUCUAUGGAGAAACGUUUCUUUUGAAAAAGACAAGUAAGUCCUUCAAUUAGAAUCCAAUUCUAAUAAUAAUGAAAGAAACUAAAGAAUGAACGGGCAACUUAUAUUAUCUGCUUUACCUUUGCCAUCCUAGGUCUUGACGACAGUCAACGAUCAGACGGGUCGAGGUCAACGGGUUAAUGGGUCGAAUUCGAUUAGAUCAGUCGGGUCGGACGCGCCAGUUGGACUGGUCGGUCGGACCGGCUGGGUCAGACGAACCGACCGGCACGUGCCAUGCACGUGCGCGGCUGACGUCAGUUGGCACGUGUCGUGUGCGUGCGCGGCUAACGUCACGAUGAUGUCAGUUGGCACGUGCCGUGUGCGUGCGCGGCUGACGUCACAAUGAUGUCGUGCGUGCGACGCACGUGCCUGGGCUAAAACGGCACGUGCGAUGCACGUGCAUUGCACGUGCCGAUGACCCCCAUUCGUUCCGGCUGCGCAUGGCAGCAUGUUCAACGGCCCCCGACAGUGAUCCACCACUCAUUUUUCUCGUAUCAACGAGACCUUUGACCCUACGUUAUCAGAAACGAAUUUUGAUUUACAGAAAAUCAAAAAAUGGGGUGACUAGUACGCGGGUGUUGGGAUUUUUCUGUCCUCGAUUGGUUGACGGCGGUGUUUCACGAAAAUUCAAUCAAAAACAAUUCAUAAACAUGAAAAUGGGUCGGAAAACAUGAACGAUGGCUUUGAUACCAAUGUUGGGAAUAACUGAUUCCCUAAAACUAAUCCGAUACACAAUCGAACCUCUAAAACAAAUACGGAAGACAAGCCCAGGAAUCACAUGUAUCACCGAUCAAAGAUACACCACGGAAUCGAGUGUACUUUAUUGUCCAUGAAUUAAACACCAACGUUGAAGUUUGAGAAAGAAUCAUGAUCCUGUUCUACUGAGUGCUAUUGCUAUUAGGGGGAGAAAACUAUGAAAAAGACGUACGUUCUUUUUUCUUGGAACAUUAUGUUGUCUUACGUUGUUUGGAGGGGAAGAAAGUGUUUUCACAUACGUACUCCAAAAUGUACGUUCCUUUUCCUUUUUUACUUUCCCUUGAAGCGUCUCCUCCAAAGGACGCAUUUCUUCAACGUAAAAAUGUUCCUCCAAAAGACACAACCCUUCCUCUAUGGGCCCUUAAUCUACGGGUUGGGUUCUUAGGCCCAACAUGGGCGGACGGGCCUACUUAGGCCCAUCAUCACAAUUAAAAAACCCAUCACCUAGAAGGGUCAAACGGCAGGCCUCCCUCCUGGAAGAGGCCAUUCGAGUGGCGAUGGCUAGAAAGAAGGCCGGGGUGCCUAGAAUCAGGCUAAGGAGGCUCUGAAGUGAUUUCAUCCAAAAAAAUCACCAUGGAAGGAGAUGGCGCGGAUGGGGGUGUAUGGGACAGGUUUGUGUCAAAAGCAGAAGCCAUGUCGCGGAUGGGGUUGUAUGGAAGCCUUAUGGUGAAACUGCUAGGGGCUCCUCCCUUCCUCGACACAUUUCUUUCUUUUAAAAAAAUAAAAAAAUAAAAGAAAACAAGUCUUCGUCUUACGCGUCUUAUCCUAAUCUCAAAAACAUUUAAACAUAAUAAUUAUCAUUCGUGUGUUUAGUCGUAGAGAUUACAUAAGUAUUAAGGUUGUUGGGCGCGAGAGAUGUGAAAAGAAUAAUUCCAAAGAAGAUUCUAGAAAGAAAGAGGAAAGAAACAAAAACAGAUGAAGACGGUCAACACUCAACACCGACCGAUGCCGUCCCCCAAAAAGAGGCUUUACUUGAAUCGUUGAAUUGAUCGUUGAAUUGAUUUUCCCUCGUGGGGUCCUAGUGUCCUUAUAAGAUCCUAAGAUUUGGUUUUUUCAUGUUUGGUUGUUAAAGUAGAGGGAGACGAAUGUUUUCAGUUGUUGGGUCAUUGAAACAUGAAUCUAUUCCAACUUAUAGAUGGUGAACCGAAUUAUAUUGUCAAGAAAGAAAUGGAUUGUUUUAAUGCAACCCAUUAAAAAUGAAUAAUUUUAAAAAUAUUUUUCCUAAAAAAUAAUCACUUGUAUUGUGGGAAAAUUGUUCAAAAAGUCUUAAACCUAUUAUAUUUUUGCCAAUUUAAUCCUAAGCUUUCCAAUUUUGUCAUUGAGUCAUUUCCACCUUUUAUCAAUUAAGUCUAUCCAGCCUUUAAUUGAAAAAUUGCUAACGUGGUAAUUUUUUAAUAGAUUUUUUAAAUAUAUAUUUUAACCUUUUUUUAGUUAAGGCUGAUGAGGGUUUCCGGCCGACCCUCACGGACCCUUGGGCGAGAGCGUUAUAGCCCUCACUAGCUUUAGGCAAGAGUUGCAAUGCCCUAGUCGGCAAAAGCAAGGGCACGUGAACCCUCGACCAGAAUCAUCAGGGCCUCAACACCCUCGUUAGAUCUGGCUAGGCAAGGUUGUCCCGCGCCCUAGCUUUUGCUAGCUAUCCAACCCUAUAAAAAAUAAUAAAAAUCAUAGAAAAAAAUUAAAAUAUCAUUAAAAUAUUAUUAAAAAAGUGCUACGUUAGUGCCGGCUGUCAACAUCAAUAAUUUUUUGUUAAAAUUGGCUGGAUGAACUCAAUUGAUAAAAUGUGAAAAGAUUUAGGACUUCAUUGACAAAAUUGAAAAAUUUAGGAUUAAAUUUAAAAAAAAGGUACAAUAGAUUUAGGACUUUUUGGACAAUUUUCUCCUUAUAUUACUUAAAAUUAAUUAGUUAAUAAAAAUAUUUUUAUCACUGGGAACAAUUUAUAUUUAAAUAUUUUCGUAAAUGAUGAAAAUGUUUUUUGUUUAUUCAUUUUUGUAAGUGAUAUAUACAAUCAUUUAAAAAAAAUGUUUUCUAUAUCAUUCAUUUUCUGCAAAAUAAAAGGAGCUUAAAAGAUUUUUGUACAAUUAUAAUCUUCGCCUUUUCUUUCAAGAGAAAAGGACGUUAUUAACUUUGGGCACUUUGCACCCUCAAUAUCGAAAAUUAACAUUUUAAGACCUAGAAAAACCUAUGUUUUACCAUUUCAUAUAUGCAACGCCUGCAGAAGAAAGGCUAUGAAAAUCAAGAAUUAGAUAUUGCAUAAUGUAGAUUUCUAUUGAACCCUCGCGAUGCAAAGUGCAAAAAUGUAGAGCCUUAAUUCAGAUAUUGAGAAGCAUAAUUUUUGAAAGGGUUUUUACCAAUAAAUUCAUAAAUAGCACACUUAUGACAUAUUUACGUCAAAUAAAUUUUCAUCUAAAAAGAAUGUACGAAAUAGAAAUCACAUGAUGUAUUUUCCCAAAUUAAUUUUUAUUUCACAAAAUCCCUGAUCUAUUAGUUAGCAUUCCAUUCAUUAUCCUGUUAACAUCCAUAUGUUUCAACACACUUGGUAGACGAUUGUAAGGCAAAUCUUAUAGUGAGAAUGUCAUAAUUGACGUGGAAAAUUUCACAUGUAUGGACAUGUAGGCAUUUUAAUAAAAUAUAGACUUAGAUCAAGAGUACAAGUUUAGCAUUUUCGGUUGAACAAAAAUUAGUUUAGCAGCAAAUGUAUCGCACGGUGCCAGUUGGGCCUUUUUAAUGAACUUAACCCUUUCCGAAAUGUAAUUUUUUUUUUUCAAUUUUCUCUAGUUAAAGAAGGGCAGCUCACAACCUGAAAGAGAAAACAAAGAAAAGAAAUAGAGAACAAAGGGGAAAUUCAUUUGGAGGCCCAUGUGUCAAGUCCAACUCCGACUCAACACACCAUGGGCUUUCCUCUUGGGCUUAAUCCAAUUCCAGACAGCUCCGAAAAGGGAGACAAAGGAAAAUGUCCUUCUUCUUCCCCGUCGUUCUUGGCAACGCUUCGACCGAUCGAACUUCCAGCGCCGCGCAGCGUUCCCUCCGCCGUCGUCGUUCGGCGGCUCUUCCUCGACACUCCGAGCUUCAGUCCACGUCCGAAGCCCGACUCUUCAGGUCCUUUCUCUCUCUCUCGCGUGAAUUGUCGGCCUCGGUUGUUUAUCAGGCAGUAACCUCAGCUUGUGAGCUGGUCGCGGAGGUUCCGCAUCGUCCUUCAUUUAACGCAUUGAUGGAGUCAAAUUCGGAAGGCCCUCAAGUUUUUCCUUCCGUAUUCGCUUCUCCGAUAGAAUUUUCAUCGCCUGCCUUGCUGUUUUCCUUCGUUGUGCAGUUUAUUGAUUUGCUUAAUCUUGUGCUGAAUGGAUUCCGAGUGUUAGUGUAGUGAGUGAGGGCAAGGCCUGGUUCAUGGUGUUGGUUUUUGGUUCGGUUCUUUGCCUUGUAAGUCUGUAAAUGAAGAAGCUUCAAUCUUUACUUCUUAAAACCAAAUCCCGUGUCUUUGCAGAGUUUUCUUUCCAAUCAUCAGCUGGGCAUCUUUGCCUUGAUAUAUUGUUAGUUGUUGCAAUCUUCCUGAUGGCAACUACGGCUUCUUCGCCACCUCUGCAUAUUUUAGGUACUGAAAAGUCUCUAUCUUGAUGCUCGUCCUGUGACUUGACGAUUCGAACUUGACUUGUGUUGGUACAACUUGCUUUCUAGUUCGCGAACCGGAGGGGUUCUCUCUGUGGAAUGGACCCCCAUUUGCUAAUGGUCAACCCAGUGUCAAGCUCGAUAGGACUCCGUGCACAAGCACCAUGUUCAGCACAGAUGGGUCCAGGCUGAUGGUGAUAAGGUCCGACUCCGCGGUUGGCGUGUAUGACUGCAGCAACUUCAAGGAAAUCAGGAAUUUUGAGAUCCCCAAUUUGGUCACGGCAGCAUUGUCCCCGUGUGGGACCUAUCUCCAGACUUUCCAGAAAUCCUCAACGCCACAGGAGAAGAAUGUGAUCUUGUGGAAAGUUGAGUCUGGGGAGUCUGUUUAUCAGCUACUCCAGAAGAACAUAACUAAAACGACAUGGUACAUGAUAUUAGUCAGGAUCAUCAGUUGGUCAAUGAUAGAUUACUCAUGAUAGUGCGUACGCAUUAUAUAGUGUUGCACCAUUAAUUUUCCUCAUUUAUGUGCAUUGCCUCUCCAUAUUUUCACUACUUAAUGGUUUGUGUGCUGCUCUCCAGGCCC